GUAGUCAUGGCCGAAUGGGUAAGGCACUGGACUAGAAAUCCACUGGGGUUUCCCCAUGCAGGUUUAAAUCCUGCUGACCACA
Molecule: non-coding RNA, 82 nt
Organism: Ornithorhynchus anatinus (platypus)
Lineage: Eukaryota; Metazoa; Chordata; Mammalia; Monotremata; Ornithorhynchidae
Source: Rfam